GAUGAACGCUAGCGGGAGGCCUAACACAUGCAAGCCGAGCGGUAUAAUUCCUUCGGGAAUUAGAGAGCGGCGCACGGGUGCGGAACACGUGUGCAACCUGCCUUUAUCUGGGGGAUAGCCUUCCGAAAGGGAGAUUAAUACCCCAUAAUAUAUCGACUGGCAUCAGUUAAUAUUGAAAACUCCGGUGGAUAGAGAUGGGCACGCGCAAGAUUAGAUAGUUGGUGAGGUAACGGCUCACCAAGUCAGUGAUCUUUAGGGGGCCUGAGAGGGUGAUCCCCCACACUGGUACUGAGACACGGACCAGACUCCUACGGGAGGCAGCAGUGAGGAAUAUUGGACAAUGGGUGAGAGCUUGAUCCAGCCAUCCCGCGUGAAGGACGACGGCCCUAUGGGUUGUAAACUUCUUUUGUACAGGGAUAAACCUAGAUACGUGUAUCUAGCUGAAGGUACUGUACGAAUAAGCACCGGCUAACUCCGUGCCAGCAGCCGCCGUAA
RNAcentral lists this ribosomal RNA (495 nucleotides) under uncultured bacterium. Its description in RNAcentral is "partial 16S ribosomal RNA". It matches the Rfam family "Bacterial small subunit ribosomal RNA", at positions 28 to 523 of the family's 1533-position model. The record is from RNAcentral.